AAUGGGUCAGCGACUUAUAUUCUGUAGCAAGGUUAACCGAAUAGGGGAGCCGAAGGGAAACCGAGUCUUAACUGGGCGUUAAGUUGCAGGGUAUAGACCCGAAACCCGGUGAUCUAGCCAUGGGCAGGUUGAAGGUUGGGUAACACUAACUGGAGGACCGAACCGACUAAUGUUGAAAAAUUAGCGGAUGACUUGUGGCUGGGGGUGAAAGGCCAAUCAAACCGGGAGAUAGCUGGUUCUCCCCGAAAGCUAUUUAGGUAGCGCCUCGUGAAUUCAUCUCCGGGGGUAGAGCACUGUUUCGGCAAGGGGGUCAUCCCGACUUACCAACCCGAUGCAAACUGCGAAUACCGGAGAAUGUUAUUACGGGAGACACACGGCGGGUGCUAACGUCCGUCGUGAAGAGGGAAACAACCCAGACCGCCAGCUAAGGUCCCAAAGUCAUGGUUAAGUGGGAAACGAUGUGGGAAGGCCCAGACAGCCAGGAUGUUGGCUUAGAAGCAGCCAUCAUUUAAAGAAAGCGUAAUAGCUCACUGGUCGAGUCGGCCUGCGCGGAAGAUGUAACGGGGCUAAACCAUGCACCGAAGCUGCGGCAGCGACACUAUGUGUUGUUGGGUAGGGGAGCGUUCUGUAAGCCUGUGAAGGUGUGCUGUGAGGCAUGCUGGAGGUAUCAGAAGUGCGAAUGCUGACAUAAGUAACGAUAAAGCGGGUGAAAAGCCCGCUCGCCGGAAGACCAAGGGUUCCUGUCCAACGUUAAUCGGGGCAGGGUGAGUCGACCCCUAAGGCGAGGCCGAAAGGCGUAGUCGAUGGGAAACAGGUUAAUAUUCCUGUACUUGGUGUUACUGCGAAGGGGGGACGGAGAAGGCUAUGUUGGCCGGGCGACGGUUGUCCCGGUUUAAGCGUGUAGGCUGAUUUUCCAGGCAAAUCCGGAAAAUCAAGGCUGAGGCGUGAUGACGAGGCACUACGGUGCUGAAGCAACAAAUGCCCUGCUUCCAGGAAAAGCCUCUAAGCAUCAGGUAACAUCAAAUCGUACCCCAAACCGACACAGGUGGUCAGGUAGAGAAUACCAAGGCGCUUGAGAGAACUCGGGUGAAGGAACUAGGCAAAAUGGUGCCGUAACUUCGGGAGAAGGCACGCUGAUAUGUAGGUGAAGCGACUUGCUCGUGGAGCUGAAAUCAGUCGAAGAUACCAGCUGGCUGCAACUGUUUAUUAAAAACACAGCACUGUGCAAACACGAAAGUGGACGUAUACGGUGUGACGCCUGCCCGGUGCCGGAAGGUUAAUUGAUGGGGUUAGCGGUAACGCGAAGCUCUUGAUCGAAGCCCCGGUAAACGGCGGCCGUAACUAUAACGGUCCUAAGGUAGCGAAAUUCCUUGUCGGGUAAGUUCCGACCUGCACGAAUGGCGUAAUGAUGGCCAGGCUGUCUCCACCCGAGACUCAGUGAAAUUGAACUCGCUGUGAAGAUGCAGUGUACCCGCGGCAAGACGGAAAGACCCCGUGAACCUUUACUAUAGCUUGACACUGAACAUUGAGCCUUGAUGUGUAGGAUAGGUGGGAGGCUUUGAAGUGUGGACGCCAGUCUGCAUGGAGCCGACCUUGAAAUACCACCCUUUA
This 1611-nucleotide ribosomal RNA is filed under the name Escherichia coli. Its description in RNAcentral is "partial 23S ribosomal RNA". It matches the Rfam family "Bacterial large subunit ribosomal RNA", at positions 614 to 2209 of the family's 2925-position model. Lineage: Bacteria; Pseudomonadati; Pseudomonadota; Gammaproteobacteria; Enterobacterales; Enterobacteriaceae. The record is from RNAcentral.